Long non-coding RNA from Sarcophilus harrisii (Tasmanian devil), 1205 nucleotides. RefSeq lists it as uncharacterized. The transcript has 4 exons. The record is from RefSeq and is a predicted model, not a curated record. NCBI's taxonomy places the organism in Eukaryota, Metazoa, Chordata, Mammalia, Dasyuromorphia, Dasyuridae.
AUUCCAGACCUGGAACUCUAUCCACUUCAGGGUAGACUAAUACCUCCCACGUGGAGGCUGCCAAGCCUUUUGCAGGGCUGUUUUCCACCUUGGGUGACCACUUGAUCCACCUAACUCUCACCUAUGGCUUCAAGAAGCUGUAGCAUGCCCAGUGGCCACAUCCUAGUAAACCAUUUUGGCAGAUGGGCUAAACCAGGUGAAGAGUAACCAAAGGAUCCCAACUCUAUGGUGAGUUAGGCAGUGUCUACCACAAGCAUGUAGAGACUUGCCCUGGUGGAAUGGGUGGCUGAGACCAAUUUGUUCUAACAGCCUCCAUGAAGGCAGGUGAAGCAGAUGCUGUGGAGCGCUUAGAGCUUGAUUAGACAUUGAGGACACUAAGGUCAUUCACUGCAUCUUGAGUCAUCACUAGCUAUCUUGAUUCUGUCCUGCUACCAGACAGGGGUGGCUCUGGAAGAAAGAGGAAAGCUGAUGACUUUGUGCAACUCUGCUUCACACAAAUCCAAUUUAUGCAUGAAUCCAAAGAAUAUGGCUACUACUUCUCCCUAUUAAGGACUAAGGAGUGCAUGGAGGAGUUGUGAUAUGUUUUUCUAACAAAUGUGUUCAUGAGGCCUCACCUUGUGUUCUGCCUCAAUACAACCCACUAAGAAAAUAUUCAAUAUGCACAUUCAGUUAUGGUUCAACAGUCAAGUAAAAGCUUUUUCAGUACCAUCCAGGAAGCCAGCAGUCAAAAAUGUCUGCAUAUAUUCUGAAGUUGUUCCUUCAUUAUUCUCUUCUAGAAGCUGGCUCCCAAAGCUUCCAUAUGGAUUCCUACCAGAAAGAUCACACUGUCCAUGCUUCCAGGACUGGGAUCUCAUUGUCCAGUCCAUUUCAAGUGCCACCGCCUGCAAGAAGUCUUCCUGAUCUUCCUCCUCUGGUCUUUUUUACAUUCUCCCAGCAGACCUUCUCACCCUGAAUAUUGAUUACCCUCCUGCUCAACCCUCCCAACUGCACAAUGCUGGGGACAUAGAAAGUGAUGGAUUGAUUGAUCUGUAUCCUCUGGAAAUACUGGCUCCUUGCUACAGAACUUAUACAGGAAAGAGGCUUAUCAACCAAGCAGCAAUCUCCUUCCUCAAAAAGUAGAUGGGAUUCAGAAUGGCAGAUGGCCUGAAGACAAUAUCUCCACUAUACACUAUAGCUGAGACAAAUAGAAAGAGGUGGCUGAAAAA